CAUCUUUAGUAUAAAUGCAAGAAAGGAGGAAAUAAUUUGGGAGUAAAAGCUUCUAUGACCUUUUCACGUGAGGAUUUUCUUGAUAAGCCACAGCAGACAAAUCUAGCAUUGUGAGAUUGGGCAGAUAAGACAGCAAAUCCUUGCUAAUCCUAGGUAUUGCUGUCUCACUAAGUCCUAAAACAACAAACAACAAACAACAAAACCUCUAUGAGGCAACACCCAAAGCCACUGUCAGAUGUCAUGGAGAUGAGACCUCACAAGCCCAAAAAGAAAACUUCCAUCUGUUCUAGCAUCUGCUUACUGUGGUUCAAGAAUUUCUUCAAUUUAACAAGUAGGUGUGUCAAUUGUGACAUCUGGGAAUGUUUAUAAAGACACAUACACAAAAAGGAAAGGUGAGGAGCCAAGAUGUCCCACUAGAUGCAGCCAAGGAGAGCUUCUCCAAUGGAAAGAGACCAGACCAUCAAGUAGACUGGCAUAUUCUGAAAAGAUCUCUGGAAAGAAGGCAUAGAGACUGGACAGAGGGAAGUUUCAAGCCCUGGGCUGAAAGAGGAGGAAUUUGGGAACCCUGCAUGGGAUUGCCUAGCACAAAGACUUGUUCCUGGCUCUAAGGUGAAGGGUAGAUCAACAGUUACUAUGGAAACAUAUCACUGUUUUGGGUGUGCCUACUCAACGUGAAGAUGAUGAGAAUGAAGACCUUUAUGAUGAUCUGCUUCCACUUAAAGAAUAGUAGGUAUUUGGCUGACUCCUGGACUAUGCAAGCACAAGAAGAGAUUUCAGAAGGUUUGGAAGAGAGUCUCUUCUGAGAGGCUGAGGGCUAAGAAGACUGCCCUGUGCAGGAAAGAUGUUGGAGUGCAAGCCCAUCUGGAAUGGAGAGACCUCGAUGAAACACAUAGGCAAUUAAUUAGAUCCCAGAAAGGCCACACUGUGCAAAACCCUGAGGUAUCAUGAAGAAAUCCAUAUGCCCUGAAGUUACCAUCCUAGAGACAUCAUUUGGAGAGACUACAGUGCACAGAAGUAGAGAGGCCCAGCUGUGCCUGUCCCCAACUGAUGGAGUCUUCUCAGUGUCAGUCACCAGACAUCCCAUCUUACCACCAGUGGACAAUUCAGUGAUGCAAACUCCAUGAAGGAUAAAGUUCAUGCAGUUCAACUAUGUAGGUUUUUGUUAGUCCAGUUCUUUGAUCCAAGGAAGAAUUUAGAGCAACUUGAAAGAUGGUUGGAAUAUGCAAUUAUGUUAUUUAACACAACAGUUUAAUUGGCUUUCUGAUGACAGCUGGUGGAAGAAACUGUGAGCCCAUCAUCUGAGGCCCAUCAUGAUCUGAAGGCAGCGGUGGU
Homo sapiens (human) is the source of this 1332-nucleotide long non-coding RNA. Ensembl annotates it as long intergenic non-protein coding RNA 1934. The record is from Ensembl. NCBI's taxonomy places the organism in Eukaryota, Metazoa, Chordata, Mammalia, Primates, Hominidae.